Molecule: non-coding RNA, 22 nt
Filed under: Arabidopsis thaliana (thale cress)
Lineage: Eukaryota; Viridiplantae; Streptophyta; Magnoliopsida; Brassicales; Brassicaceae
Source: RNAcentral
UGCCUCAGCAGAGUCGCUAGGA